AUUGAACGCUGGCGGCAUGCUUUACACAUGCAAGUCGAACGGCAGCGCGGGCUUCGGCCUGGCGGCGAGUGGCGAACGGGUGAGUAAUACAUCGGAACGUGCCCAGUAGUGGGGGAUAGCUCGGCGAAAGCAGGAUUAAUACCGCAUACGACCUGAGGGUGAAAGCGGGGGAUCUUCGGACCUCGCGCUAUUGGAGCGGCCGAUGGCAGAUUAGCUAGUUGGUGGGGUAAAGGCCUACCAAGGCGACGAUCUGUAGCUGGUCUGAGAGGACGACCAGCCACACUGGGACUGAGACACGGCCCAGACUCCUACGGGAGGCAGCAGUGGGGAAUUUUGGACAAUGGGCGAAAGUCUGAUCCAGCAAUGCCGCGUGUGUGAUGAAGGCCUUCGGGUUGUAAAGCACUUUUGGCGGGAACGAAAAGGACUGUGCCAAUACCACGGUUCGAUGACGGUACCCGCAGAAUAAGCACCGGCUAACUACGUG
Molecule: ribosomal RNA, 484 nt
Filed under: uncultured bacterium
Lineage: Bacteria
Description: partial 16S ribosomal RNA
Rfam family: Bacterial small subunit ribosomal RNA
Source: RNAcentral